GGGGCGGGAAGGUUGUAGUGCCGCGAGUUGAGCUCCUCUUGCCUAAGUGGUCGCGCCCCCUUUAAGAGCAGCGAUUGUAAGGAGAGGCGGUCCCGGUGUCCUCGGGUUUUCAAAACAAAAAUAGAGUUGCAAUCUUGGCAGAACUGGACAAAGAGAAAAGAAAACUACUUAUGCAGAACCAGUCUUCAACAAAUCAUCCUGGAGCUAGCAUUGCACUCUCGAGACCCUCUCUUAAUAAGGACUUCCGGGAUCACGCUGAGCAGCAGCAUAUUGCAGCCCAACAGAAGGCAGCUUUGCAGCAUGCUCAUGCACAUUCAUCUGGAUACUUCAUCACUCAAGACUCUGCAUUUGGGAACCUUAUUCUUCCUGUUUUACCUCGCCUUGACCCAGAAUGAAGAAAACAUUUGCGAUGGAAAAGUGACUUUGUAAUAUCAAAUGCCAAAGCUACUAUCAUUCAGUGCUACAUGAACUGUGACUUUAAGAAUUUUGGUGAACUUUGAUAUUUUUUGUUUGUCUGAAAGAAAGGAAUGUGUAAGUGAAAGCUGAAAGAAGAAUAACCAGGAUGAUGAGAGCUGUGGAAGCUGUAUCGUCCAAGGAAUUGAUUAUGUACCGUGACUGUAACUUUUUUGUAAUGCUGUUUAACUCUCAAUCAGACUGUGAACUGGAUGGUCACGAAGUCAUUCCCCAACUCCUAGCAAGUUUGACUGAAUAUAUCAUGUCCACAGUAGAUUUUCAAGAAUCAUUUAUAGUACUUAACUUUAAAGAAACAAGGCUGCUUUUAAAAAAUGAACUAAUAGGCUUAAAUCAAUUGCAUCCAUAUUUGCUGUUUAUAGGAUUGCUAUCAGUAUACCUUUUGCGUUUAUAGUCAACAUGUAUCAUCCUGAAAUAUUCUUUCUGGACUUAUAACUACUUCCCCCUUUUUCACUUUAAAACAAACCUCAAGAAUAAAUUACUAACCAGUCUUAACCAUCUUUUAUAAACAUAUGCUCUUAUAAAUGUUGUGACUAGAUGCAAUUAAAAAUAAUAGGGAAUGUGGUAGGUUUUUAAUUUGUACAUCCUCUUAUUUAGUGUUACCACAUAAAUGAUGAGUUUGUGUGGUUCUGUUUUCCAUUUUUGUUCUAACUGAAAACUUUUUGGCUGGGCACGGUGCCUCAUGCCUGUAAUCCCAGCACUUUGGGAGGCCAAGGCGGGCAGAUCACUUGAGAUCAGGAGUUUGAGACCAGCCUGGCCAACAUGGUGAAACCCUGUCUCUACU
RNAcentral lists this long non-coding RNA (1255 nucleotides) under Homo sapiens (human). RNAcentral describes it as "long non-coding RNA NONHSAT221194.1". The record is from RNAcentral. Lineage: Eukaryota; Metazoa; Chordata; Mammalia; Primates; Hominidae.